CGCCUGUUUAUCAAAAACAUCGCCUCUUGUUCAAUUAUAGGAGGUCCAGCCUGCCCAGUGACUUUGUUCAACGGCCGCGGUAUCCUAACCGUGCGAAGGUAGCGUAAUCACUUGUUCUUUAAAUGAGGACUAGUAUGAAUGGCCCCACGAGGGCUGCACUGUCUCCUUUUUCUAAUCAAUGAAACUAAUCUCCCCGUGAAGAAGCGGGAAUUAUCCUAUAAGACGAGAAGACCCUAUGGAGCUUUAAACAAUUGAAACAUUUGCUUUCCUCCUAACUCCUCCCGAGCUCUUUAUUUUUAUUUAAGCAUUAUUAUUUCUAGUUUUAGGUUGGGGUGACCACGGAGCAAAACUAAACCUCCAUGAAGAAAUGAAUAUUUUUAAGCCACAAACUACUUUUUUAAGCAUCAACAAAUUGACCUUCAUUGACCCAAUAUAUUGAUCAACGAACCAAGUUACCCUAGGGAUAACAGCGCAAUCUACUUCAAGAGCUCAUAUCGACAAGUAGGUUUACGACCUCGAUGUUGGAUCAGGGUAUCCUAGUGGUGCAGCCGCUACUAAUGGUUCGUUUGUUCAACGAUUAAAACCCU
This 587-nucleotide ribosomal RNA is filed under the name Ameerega trivittata (three-striped poison frog). RNAcentral describes it as "partial large subunit ribosomal RNA". It matches the Rfam family "Bacterial large subunit ribosomal RNA", at positions 1797 to 2597 of the family's 2925-position model. The record is from RNAcentral. Lineage: Eukaryota; Metazoa; Chordata; Amphibia; Anura; Dendrobatidae.